GAUGAACGCUGGCGGCGUGCCUAACACAUGCAAGUCGAACGGAGUUUUUAGAGGAAGCCUUUCGGGGUGGAACCUUUGAACUUAGUGGCGGACGGGUGAGUAACGCGUGAGCAACCUGCCUUAAAGUGGGGGACAACAUUUGGAAACGAAUGCUAAUACCGCAUAAGACCACGGAGUCGCAUGGCUCUGAGGCCAAAGGAGCAAUCCGCUUUAAGAUGGGCUCGCGUCCGAUUAGGUAGUUGGUGGGGUAAUGGCUCACCAAGCCAACGAUCGGUAGCCGGACUGAGAGGUUGAUCGGCCACAUUGGGACUGAGACACGGCCCAGACUCCUACGGGAGGCAGCAGUGGGGAAUAUUGGGCAAUGGGCGAAAGCCUGACCCAGCGACGCCGCGUGGAGGAAGAAGGUUUUCGGAUUGUAAACUCCUGUCUUCGGGGAAGAUAAUGACGGUACCCGAGGAGGAAGCCACGGCUAACUACGUGCCAGCAGCCGCGGUAAAAC
This 499-nucleotide ribosomal RNA is filed under the name uncultured bacterium. Its description in RNAcentral is "bacterial SSU rRNA". It matches the Rfam family "Bacterial small subunit ribosomal RNA", at positions 28 to 526 of the family's 1533-position model. The record is from RNAcentral.